AGAAAUAAUAAAUAUCGAAAGUUGGGAGUUAAACAGCUCGGGUUCGUAACUCACGGGUAUUUUGACGGGGUUAACACCGGCUUAAAGCUGAAAGGGGUUUAGUGUGGCAUGAAUUUAAUCAUGCUUGAAGGUUAUGGAAAUGAUAGAAAUUAUAUGAAAAAGGUAGUGGAAAUGGAUAGGAAAAAUUGCAAAGAGAAUUAGACAAAUUUUGUAAAAAGAAGACAAAAUAAUCUAAUGCUCAAUUGAAUUAAGAAAAAGAAAA
This 262-nucleotide long non-coding RNA is filed under the name Gossypium barbadense (sea-island cotton). RNAcentral's name for it is "long non-coding RNA (GBAR_LNC005065)". The record is from RNAcentral. Lineage: Eukaryota; Viridiplantae; Streptophyta; Magnoliopsida; Malvales; Malvaceae.